RNAcentral lists this ribosomal RNA (266 nucleotides) under uncultured bacterium. Its description in RNAcentral is "partial 16S ribosomal RNA". It matches the Rfam family "Bacterial small subunit ribosomal RNA", at positions 90 to 354 of the family's 1533-position model. The record is from RNAcentral.
UUUUAGCGGCGGACGGGUGAGUAACGUGUGGGUAACCUGCCUUUUACUGUGGAAUAAUCGUUGGAAACGACGACUAAUACCGCAUACGAUUUUCUGAAGGCAUCUUCGGAAAAAGAAAGGAAAUAUUCGGUAAAAGAUGGGCCCGCAUCUGAUUAGCUAGUUGGUGAGAUAAUAGCCCACCAAGGCAACGAUCAGUAGCCGACCUGAGAGGGUGACCGGCCACAUUGGGACUGAGACACGGCCCAAACUCCUACGGAAGGCAGCAG